ACAAAAACAUGUCUCUUUGAUUAUUUAAUUUAUAGGGAGUCUAACCUGCCCGGUGAAUUGUUUAACGGCCGCAGUACUUUGACUGUGCGAAGGUAGCAUAAUCAUUUGCCUUAUAAUUGAAGGCUUGUAUGAAUGGUUUGACGAAAAUAAAUCUGUCUUAAUUUAAAUUUUUUGAAUUUAACUUUUUAGUGAAGAGGCUUAAAUUAUAUUGAUAGACAAGAAGACCCUGUCGAGCUUUAAAUUUUUUAUAAAUUUUAAUUAUAAUAUUAUUUGUUAUUUUUAGUUGGGGUGAUUAAGGAAUAAAAUAAAUUUCCUUAUUUUAAUAUUAUUAAUUUAUUAAUUUUGAUCCAUAUAUUUUGAUUAAUAGAAUUAGUUACCGCAGGGAUAACAGCAUAAUCUUUUUUGAGAGUUCAUAUCGAAAAAUUGGUUUGUGACCUCGAUGUUGGAUUAAAGUUUCCUAAAGGUGCAGAAGUUUUUAAGGGUUAGUCUGUUCGACUAUUAAAACUUUACAUGAGCUGAG
Molecule: ribosomal RNA, 520 nt
Filed under: Chondrothyra petricosa
Lineage: Eukaryota; Metazoa; Mollusca; Gastropoda; Littorinimorpha; Pomatiidae
Description: partial 16S small subunit ribosomal RNA
Rfam family: Bacterial large subunit ribosomal RNA
Source: RNAcentral